Molecule: long non-coding RNA, 533 nt
Filed under: Mus caroli (Ryukyu mouse)
Lineage: Eukaryota; Metazoa; Chordata; Mammalia; Rodentia; Muridae
Description: predicted gene 15868 (MGP_CAROLIEiJ_G0002954.1)
Source: RNAcentral
GUUCUAAGAUUAAAAUUAAUUAUUAUAUUUCUAGACUGACUCUCAGUCUAGCCCAGACUUGCUUCAAAUUCAGUUAUGUGUCCUAGUCAGGCCUUCAACUUCAGGGUGUCUUCUGACCUUGUUUCCCGAGUGCUACGUGUAUGAGCCACCAUCUUCCUGGGGAGAAGACUAAAGGCUAGAGCCAGGUGAAAGCACUGGUAGGUUAUUGCCUGAAGGGAAGCAUUCACUUUCCAGACAAUAUGGCGAAAUAAAAUGAGAUUCAUAAAUAACUUUCCUGUAAAUGUUUCUGCGGAUCUGAUUCAUGGCAAUCAUUAAGUAUAAUGAGAGCAGCUAGAGCGGCCCAGCCAUAGCAUUCCCUAUCCACAGGUACAAAGUCAGCAUGCCCGAACUGCCAGUGCUUAUUUUGCAAGGUUCUCAUGAGACAAAGACGGUCGGGGUUCACGAUCAUCAUCCAGGGCAUUGAAAACUUCAGCACGGAUCCUUGCUUUUAAAUGUCCUAACACUCCCCUUUUUUCCAAGGUGUCCUUUAAAAC